AGGGAGCCUGUCACCUUUGCUGGCAAAAGAGUUUCAUUACAGCAUAUUUUAGGAUAGAGCAGAUCUGGGCUGGGUUUGGGGGUUUUGUUUAUUUGGUUGGUUUGGUUUUGUGAAGCGGACUCUUGCUUGUGGACCAUGCUGGCCUCACUAUUGUACACUUGCCUCUGCCUCCGACCAGAAUUGUGUCUCCAAAGGACUUUCCCAGAGUCAGUGAGGCGGCUCCACAGGGAAGAAAAGAGAAGAGACAGCAGAGUGACAGAAGACAUGGUCUGGAGACACAGGUGCUAGGACCAUCAGGAGAGGAACGAUGGCCAUUUUGCACAAAGUAAAUGGAGCCCCUCGGCAUUCAGCUUCUCUCGAAGCUUUGCGGAGGCGCCUUUCCUUACACCUCCGACGCGUGCCGCAGAGGAACAAGUGGGCUUCCGUGGCACACGGCAGAUGGGGGCUCGCAGAAAGAGCAUUCGGAAGGUUCCCCAGCACCGUGUAGCCUGUACCGAAGGUAGGGAGGGAUGAAGGGGCCUCCGCCUUUCUUAGACAAGGAUCCCAGAGGCCAACAGUUCUAGACUAUCCUGACUAGUUCUCUGCAAGUCCUGAGAGUCCUUGUGAGUGCUAGCUCCAUGUGACCUGACCCUUCUGUGAAGGCCUAAAGUGUUCACCGUGUCCCCGUCUCUGAGACACUUCUCAGUCACAGGAAUAUAAAUACCCUUGUUCAUUGCCUUGGUCCCUCACCAUCCCUGCUUGCCCUAGACUGGGCUCCAGGCACUGGCUCAGAGUCCUUCACUCCACAAUCUUCUGCUUCAAGGACAUCCUCACUGACCUAAGCUCACUCGGUUUUCAUGUUGAGAUCCAAGGCCCAUGGCACCUCACCCCACAUUUACCCAGGAACAAUGGCCCAGUAUUGGGUAACUGGGUUCUGGCAAUGACUUUGCAACUUCUUUGAGUAAGAAUUAACUGUCAGCCCAGCCAGUCUUCUAUUGGGUACACAUGUCCCAGGACAUCUGUAGAGACAAGCCCAUACACAUUGAAGAGCGUACUCAAAAC
Long non-coding RNA from Rattus rattus (black rat), 1041 nucleotides. RefSeq lists it as uncharacterized. The transcript is spliced from 3 exons. The record is from RefSeq and is a predicted model, not a curated record. Lineage: Eukaryota; Metazoa; Chordata; Mammalia; Rodentia; Muridae.